Molecule: ribosomal RNA, 833 nt
Filed under: Xanthoparmelia sp.
Lineage: Eukaryota; Fungi; Ascomycota; Lecanoromycetes; Lecanorales; Parmeliaceae
Description: partial small subunit ribosomal RNA
Rfam family: Bacterial small subunit ribosomal RNA
Source: RNAcentral
GUAUAGCAAUAGCUACUUGCAUCAUUGUAGAUAUGAUGUAAGAUCGACUAUGUUGAAUAAAAUUCUAGGUAGAAUUAUGAUAAUGACAUUGUCUGCCUAUGUGUCUUGACCAAAUUACGUGCCAGCAGUCGCGGUAAUACGUAGAAGACUAGUGUUAUUCAUGUUUAAUCGGUUUAAAGGGUACCUAGACGGUAGAUCAAGCUUUCUAAUAAAUGAAAAGGACUAAUUUACUAGAGUUACUUAUGAGGGGGUAUUAAAGUACUGCUGGUGUAGAGAUGAAAUUCUGUCAUACCUCUUUUCAAAAGAAAAACCAUGGCACAGGUAUAGGCGAAGGCAUCCCCUUAUGUGAUAACUGACGUUGAGGGACGAAGGCUUUGUGUAGCGAACAGGAUUAGAUACCCCAGUAGUCGAAGCAGAAAAUGAUGAAUGUCAUAGAUUAGAUGUAUAAGUUUAUUCUAUAAAUGAAAGUGUAAGCAUUCCACCUCAUGAGUAAUUUGGCAACAUUGGAACUGAAAUCAUUAGACCGUUUCUGAAACCAGUAGUGAAGUAUGUUGUUUAAUUUGAUGAUCCGCAAAAAACCUUACCACAAUUUGAAUAUUUAUAUUUUUUUUAUUGUUUUUUUCUUAAGAGAUAAAUAAUUAAAGAAAAAAAUCAAAAAAGGAAGMAAAUUAAGRAAGARAAUUAAGAAAGAGGCAAUAAGAUAUAUUUACAAGCGUUGCACGGCUGUCUUCAGUUAAUGUCGCGAGACUUUGGUUAGUUCCAUUAAAUUAACGUAAACCCUUACUUUAUUUUUAUAUAGAGUAGUUCCCCGCUAUAUUGGAUAUGAUAACAGG